This 495-nucleotide ribosomal RNA is filed under the name uncultured bacterium. Its description in RNAcentral is "partial 16S ribosomal RNA". It matches the Rfam family "Bacterial small subunit ribosomal RNA", at positions 28 to 507 of the family's 1533-position model. The record is from RNAcentral.
GACGAACGCUGGCGGCGUGCCUAAUACAUGCAAGUAGAACGCUGAAGGAGGAGCUUGCUUCUCUGGAUGAGUUGCGAACGGGUGAGUAACCCGUAGGUAACCUGCCUGGUAGCGGGGGAUAACUAUUGGAAACGAUAGCUAAUACCGCAUAAGAGUAGAUGUUGCAUGACAUUUGCUUUAAAGGUGCAAUUUCCUCACUACCAGAUGGACCUGCGUUGUAUUAGCUCGUUGGGGGGGGAACGGCUCACCAAGGCGACCCUACAUAGCCGACCUGAGAGGGGGAUCGGCCACACUGGGACUGAGACACGGCCCAGACUCCUACGGGAGGCAGCAGUAGGGAAUCUUCGGGAAUGGACGGAAGUCUGACCGAGCAACGCCGCGGGAGGGAAGAAGGGUUUCGGAUCGUAAAGCUCUGUUGUAAGAGAAGAACGAGUGUGAGAGUGGAAAGUGCACACUGUGACGGUAUCUUACCAGAAAGGGACGGCUAACUACGUG